Molecule: ribosomal RNA, 468 nt
Filed under: uncultured bacterium
Lineage: Bacteria
Description: bacterial SSU rRNA
Rfam family: Bacterial small subunit ribosomal RNA
Source: RNAcentral
UUCCAGACUCCUACGGGAGGCAGCAGUGAGGAAUAUUGGUCAAUGGGCGGAAGCCUGAACCAGCCAAGUCGCGUGAGGGACUAAGGCCCUGCGGGUCGUAAACCUCUUUUGCCGGGGAGCAGUGGUCCGGACGCGUCCGGACCGGGAGAGUACCCGGAGAAAAAGCAUCGGCUAACUCCGUGCCAGCAGCCGCGGUAAUACGGAGGAUGCGAGCGUUAUCCGGAUUUAUUGGGUUUAAAGGGUGCGUAGGCGGGCAUUUAAGCCGGCGGUCAAAUGUCGGGGCUCAACCCCGGCCUGCCGUCGGAACUGGGUGCCUUGAGUGGGCGAGAAGUAUGCGGAAUGCGUGGUGUAGCGGUGAAAUGCAUAGAUAUCACACAGAACACCGAUUGCGAAGGCAUCUCACGAAUCCGCGAUUGACGCUGAUGCACGAAAGCGUGGGUAUCAAACAGGAUUAGAUACCCGCGUAGG